This 77-nucleotide transfer RNA is filed under the name Ruminococcus sp. RNAcentral describes it as "tRNA-Val". It matches the Rfam family "tRNA". Rfam says of the family: Transfer RNA (tRNA) molecules are approximately 80 nucleotides in length. Their secondary structure includes four short double-helical elements and three loops (D, anti-codon, and T loops). The record is from RNAcentral. RNAcentral also lists the same sequence under 6 other names. Lineage: Bacteria; Bacillati; Bacillota; Clostridia; Eubacteriales; Oscillospiraceae.
GGACGCGUAGCUCAGCUGGUUAGAGCGCUUGCUUCACACGCAAGAGGUCCACGGUUCGAGUCCGUGCGUGUCCACCA